CAAGACUACGGGCCAAAGGUACGCAAGCGCGCUGAGUUCGUCGAGUGGGACCGAAAAGCCGACCCGUCCACGGAACAGCCAGCCCCAAGCACACGAUCUAAGUGACACGUACGGAUCACAAGACUUAAAAGAUUCCCGCAGGAUUCAAAUGCACGGAACACGUCUGGCUCUCGCUUCGAACAGACCGGGUCACUUGUAAUCCUGCCUCAGCCUUCCGGGAGUUCUGGGACUACAGGCAUCCACCACCAUGCCCAGCUGGUAUUUGAUUUUUGUCAUGUCAAAGAGAUCUUUUCAUAGAAUUCUCUUAGCCUAUAAAGCUAUUUUGACGUGUA
Heterocephalus glaber (naked mole-rat) is the source of this 332-nucleotide non-coding RNA. Lineage: Eukaryota; Metazoa; Chordata; Mammalia; Rodentia; Bathyergidae. The record is from RefSeq and is a predicted model, not a curated record.